Molecule: long non-coding RNA, 311 nt
Filed under: Arachis ipaensis
Lineage: Eukaryota; Viridiplantae; Streptophyta; Magnoliopsida; Fabales; Fabaceae
Description: long non-coding RNA (AIPA_LNC000221)
Source: RNAcentral
AUCAUCUCAAAUCGAAUGUCUGGUCUCUUUCCCGCCGAAAUCAUUUUGAAGAGAAUGUCUUUGGGAGCUUCUGCUUUGAGUUGGAAACCUUGUGCCAUGAUUAUUCCAAGACCUGCAACACCCUUAACAUCAUUGCUUUUAUAAUUAGCUUUUAUAUAACUAACACAUUGAGCAGGGUAUGGUGUCUUGGUGCAUGUUUCUGUUAUGAGUUUGUCAUCGCUUUCACCUUGUGCUAUUGCAAUUGAAGCCACUGCAAUUGUGCACAAUAAUGUAUUUAGAGAAAAAUGCUUCAUGUUUAAUUACAGAGAAUA